UAACGCGUGGGUAACCUGCCUCAUACAGGGGGAUAGCAGCUGGAAACGGCUGAUAAAACCGCAUAAGCGCACAGCAUCGCACGAUGCAGUGUGAAAAACUCCGGUGGUAUGAGAUGGACCCGCGUCUGAUUAGCUGGUUGGUGAGGUAACGGCCCACCAAGGCGACGAUCAGUAGCCGGCCUGAGAGGGUGACCGGCCACAUUGGGACUGAGACACGGCCCAA
This 223-nucleotide ribosomal RNA is filed under the name uncultured bacterium. RNAcentral's name for it is "partial 16S ribosomal RNA". It matches the Rfam family "Bacterial small subunit ribosomal RNA", at positions 111 to 334 of the family's 1533-position model. The record is from RNAcentral.